CCUACGGAAGGCAGCAGUGAGGAAUAUUGGUCAAUGGUCGGGAGACUGAACCAGCCAAGCCGCGUGAGGGAUGAAGGUACAGAGUAUCGUAAACCUCUUUGUCAGGGAACAAAGGCGGGGACGCGUCCCCGGAUGAGUGUACCUGAAGAAAAAGCAUCGGCUAACUCCGUGCCAGCAGCCGCGGUAAUAGGGGGGAUGCGAGCGUUAUCCGGAUUUUUUGGGUUUAAAGGGUGCGCAGGCGGUCUGUUAAGUUGGCGGCCAAAUCCCGGGUCUCAACCCCGGCCCGCCGUUGAAACUGGCAGUCUCGAGUUGGAGAGAAGUAUGCGGAAUGCGCGGUGUAGCGGUGAAAUGCAUAGAUAUCGCGCAGAACUCCGAUUGCGAAGGCAGCAUGCCGGCUCCACACUGACGCUGAGGCACGAAAGCGUGGGUAUCGAACAGGAUUAGAUACCCCUGUAGUC
Molecule: ribosomal RNA, 458 nt
Filed under: uncultured bacterium
Lineage: Bacteria
Description: partial 16S ribosomal RNA
Rfam family: Bacterial small subunit ribosomal RNA
Source: RNAcentral